Non-coding RNA from Dentipellis sp. KUC8613, 92 nucleotides. Lineage: Eukaryota; Fungi; Basidiomycota; Agaricomycetes; Russulales; Hericiaceae. The record is from the annotation of a GenBank genome assembly.
GGGCACAUGGUGUAGUUGGUUAUCACGCUCGCUUAGCAUCGUUCUGCUUUGCCAACUGCGAGAGGUGUCCGGUUCAAUUCCGGAUGUGUCCA